GGGUUAGUAGGCUGGUCGUGCCACCGGUACGUACUGGUCUUUCUGAUUCCUCCUUCCUGAUGAACUGUAAUGCCAUUAAUUUGGUGUUGCAGGGAAUCUGGACUGUUACUUUGAAAAAAUUAGAGUGUUUAAAGCAGGCUAACGCUUGAAUACAUUAGCAUGGAAUAAUGAAAUAGGACGUUCGAUCCUAUUUUGUUGGUUUCUAGGAUUGACGUAAUGAUUAAUAGGGAUAGUUG
This 236-nucleotide ribosomal RNA is filed under the name uncultured Glomus. RNAcentral describes it as "partial 18S ribosomal RNA". The stretch from base 38 to 236 matches the Rfam family "Eukaryotic small subunit ribosomal RNA", at positions 684 to 884 of the family's 1831-position model. The record is from RNAcentral. Lineage: Eukaryota; Fungi; Glomeromycota; Glomeromycetes; Glomerales; Glomeraceae.